RNAcentral lists this ribosomal RNA (449 nucleotides) under uncultured bacterium. RNAcentral describes it as "partial 16S ribosomal RNA". It matches the Rfam family "Bacterial small subunit ribosomal RNA", at positions 29 to 523 of the family's 1533-position model. The record is from RNAcentral.
AGCGAACGCUGGCGGCAGGCCUAACACAUGCAAGUUGAACGGACCCUUCGGGGUUAGUGGCGGACGGGUGAGUAACACGUGGGAACGUGCCUUUAGGUUCGGAAUAGCUCCUGGAAACGGGUGGUAAUGCCGAAUGUGCCCUUCGGGGGAAAGAUUUAUCGCCUUUAGAGCGGCCCGCGUCUGAUUAGCUAGUUGGUGAGGUAAUGGCUCACCAAGGCGACGAUCAGUAGCUGGUCUGAGAGGAUGACCAGCCACAUUGGGACUGAGACACGGCCCAAACUCCUACGGGAGGCAGCAGUGGGGAAUCUUGCGCAAUGGGCGAAAGCCUGACGCAGCCAUGCCGCGUGGAUGAUGAAGGCCUUAGGAUUGUAAAAUCCUUUCACCGGUGAAGAUAAUGACUGUAGCCGGAGAAGAAGCCCCGGCUAACUUCGUGCCAGCAGCCGCCGUAA